Molecule: long non-coding RNA, 616 nt
Organism: Polypterus senegalus (gray bichir)
Lineage: Eukaryota; Metazoa; Chordata; Cladistia; Polypteriformes; Polypteridae
Exons: 2
Source: RefSeq, a predicted model, not a curated record
UCUUGUAGGAAGAUCUAAAUAUUAAUAAACAACAAACUUUCCAAAGUGGUCUUUUGGCCUUGAAGCUUCGAAGUUUUUCAAGGAUCCAUGAAUUGAAAGUACCAUCCUAAAUCAUCAUUAGUUCUCUUCACUGUUAGGACUGGAGAAAUCACAGAACUGUUCAACAAUUUCAUCAAAUCCUGCAAAAUGCACUGAAGUCAAUAGGGAAGGAGGACCUUAACUAGUUGUGACUGGAUUAUAAUGGUGCAAUGUUUUUUUCAGUGUUCCUCAGGGAUAGGGAAGCAUCUGCCAACUGAUUAUUGAGGUCACAAAUGUUAUCUGAGCUGUGAAGCAGCAGUCACUGUGUCAUUAUCCUUUCAUCUGUGUCUUUUGUUAUUUGAGGCAUGGUGACAAAGUACAACAAAUAGCCACAAACUAACAAAUAUAUAGGUUGUCACAAAGUUACACACUGGCAGUGCCAAGAAGCAGCAACACGGGAUUGGCUUGUUCCAUCAUUUAAAGUCAGGACUCUAGGCGCAGCUAUAAUGUCUUCUUUGUUUCAGAUUUAUCUCUGUAGAUACUUUGCACUUUUUUCUUCCAUCAAACCUUGUAAACAGUAAUAAACAUUUUAUUAUUA